This 2878-nucleotide ribosomal RNA is filed under the name Microcystis aeruginosa PCC 9809. RNAcentral describes it as "bacterial LSU rRNA". It matches the Rfam family "Bacterial large subunit ribosomal RNA". Lineage: Bacteria; Bacillati; Cyanobacteriota; Cyanophyceae; Chroococcales; Microcystaceae. The record is from RNAcentral.
UCAAGCUAAUAAGGGCUAACGGUGGAUACCUAGGCACACGGAAGCGAAGAAGGACGUAGUUACCGACGAAACGCUUCGGGGAGCGGGAAGCAAGCAUUGAUCCGAAGAUAUCCGAAUGGGGCAACCCUAAACACGACCACCUGAAUACAUAGGGUGGAGCGAGCAAACCUGGUGAACUGAAACAUCUUAGUAGCCAGAGGAAAAGAAAGCAACAGCGAUUCCCCCAGUAGCGGCGAGCGAAAAGGGAACAGCCUAAACCAAGUUCUGCGGAACUUGGGGUCGUGGGACAGUGACAAAAGACUGGGAAAUUUAGACGAAGCGGCUGAAAACCGCACCAGAGAAGGUGAAAGUCCUGUAGUCGAAAAAGGCACCAGCUUAACUGCAUCCCGAGUAGCAUGGGGCACGUGAAAUCCCGUGUGAAUCUGCCUCGACCACGAGGUAAGGCUAAAUAUUCCCGUGUGACCGAUAGAGAAACAGUACCGCGAGGGAAAGGUGAAAAGAACCCCGGAAGGGGAGUGAAAUAGAACAUGAAACCGUUAGCCUACAAGCAAUGGGAGGACGAUUGAACGUCUGACCGUGUGCCUGUUGAAGAAUGAGCCGGCGACUUACAGGUUAUGGCAGGUGAAGGGGGAAGACCCCACAGCCCCAGCGAAAGCGAGUCUGAAGAGGGCGAAGCGUCAUAAUUUGUAGACCCGAACCCGGGUGAUCUAACCAUGGCCAGGAUGAAGCUUGGGUAAAACCAAGUGGAGGUCCGAACCGACUAAUGUUGAAAAAUUAGCGGAUGAGCUGUGGUUAGGGGUGAAAUGCCAAUCGAACUCGGAGCUAGCUGGUUCUCCCCGAAAUGUGUUGAGGCGCAGCGGUAGUGGAAGUUUAGUCGGGGUAAAGCACUGUUUCGCCGCGGGCUGGGAGACCGGUACCAAGGCGAGGCAAACUCUGAAUACGGCUAAAAAAACUACCAGUGAGACGGUGGGGGAUAAGCUUCAUCGUCAAGAGGGAAACAGCCCAGACCACCAGCUAAGGUCCCCAAAUGAUAACUAAGUGAGAAAGGAGGUGGGAGUGCAUGGACAACCAGGAGGUUUGCCUAGAAGCAGCAAUCCUUAAAAGAGUGCGUAAUAGCUCACUGGUCAAGCGCUCCUGCGCCGAAAAUGAACGGGGCUAAGUUAUCUACCGAAGCUGUGGACUACAUUGUAGUGGUAGGGGAGCGUUCUAUAGGGGGUGAAGCAGUAGCGGCAAGCAGCUGUGGACUCUAUAGAAGUGAGAAUGUCGGCUUAAGUAGCGAAAAUGUGGGUGAGAAUCCCACACCCCGAAACCCCAAGGUUUCCUCCGCAAGGCUCGUCCGCGGAGGGUCAGUCAGGACCUAAGGCGAGGCUGAAAAGCGUAGUCGAUGGACAACGGGUUAACAUUCCCGUACCGAUUAAUGAUUGUGCCGGAGAACGGAGAAGGUCAACGUCAGCUGGAUGUUGGUUACCAGUGCAAGCAGUCGAGGCGAUGAGAGGUGGUGAAAACACCUGGAGCUAAGACGCGAGUCCCACCUCCCACGGGAGGGAAGUGGCGCUGAUCAAGCUUCCUAGAAAAGCCCGAACCACGUUAAUCAUUAAUUGCCUGUACCCGAAACCGACACAGGUGGGGAAGUAGAGAAUACUAAGGGGCGCGAGAUAACUCUCUCUAAGGAACUCGGCAAAAUGACCCCGUAACUUCGGGAGAAGGGGUACCCUCGCAAGAGGGUCGCAGUGAAUAGGCCCAGGCGACUGUUUACCAAAAACACAGGUCUCCGCCAAGUCGUAAGACGCAGUAUGGAGGCUGACGCCUGCCCAGUGCCGGAAGGUUAAGGAAGUUGGUCAGGAGUAAUCUGAAGCUGACGACCGAAGCCCCGGUGAACGGCGGCCGUAACUAUAACGGUCCUAAGGUAGCGAAAUUCCUUGUCGGGUAAGUUCCGACCCGCACGAAAGGCGUAACGAUCUGGGCACUGUCUCGGAGAGAGACUCGGCGAAAUAGGAUUGUCUGUGAAGAUACGGACUACCUGCACCUGGACAGAAAGACCCUAUGAAGCUUUACUGUAGCCUGGAAUUGGCUUCGGGCUUCGCUUGCGCAGGAUAGGUGGGAAGCUUUGAAACUCUCCUCGUGGGGAGAGUGGAGCUAACGGUGAGAUACCACUCUGGCGAGGCUAGAAUUCUAACCCUGACCCCUCAUCGGGGCGGGAGACAGUUUCAGGUGGGCAGUUUGACUGGGGCGGUCGCCUCCUAAAAGGUAACGGAGGCGCGCAAAGGUUCCCUCGGUCCCGUUGGAAAUGGGACGAUAGAGUGCAAAAGCAGAAGGGAGCUUGACUGUGAGACCCACAAGUCGAACAGGGACGAAAGUCGGCUUUAGUGAUCCGACGGCACCGCGUGGAAGGGCCGUCGCUCAACGGAUAAAAGUUACUCUAGGGAUAACAGGCUGAUCUCCCCCAAGAGUUCACAUCGACGGGGAGGUUUGGCACCUCGAUGUCGGCUCAUCGCAACCUGGGGCUGAAGUCGGUCCCAAGGGUUGGGCUGUUCGCCCAUUAAAGCGGUACGUGAGCUGGGUUCAGAACGUCGUGAGACAGUUCGGUCCAUAUCCGGUGUAGGCGUAAGAGCAUUGCGAGGAGCCUUCCUUAGUACGAGAGGACCGGGAAGGACGCACCGCUGGUGUACCUGUUAUCGUGCCAACGGUAAACGCAGGGUAGCCAUGUGCGGAGCGGAUAACCGCUGAAAGCAUCUAAGUGGGAAGCCCACCUCCAGAUGAUUGCUCUCAUGGCAUUAAGCCAGUAAGGUCUCGGGUAGACUACCCGUUGAUAGGCUCUAGAUGGAAGCUCGGUAACGAGUGCAGUCGAGGAGUACUAACCGACCGAGGGCUUGACCUG